CCAGACUCCUACGGGAGGCAGCAGUGGGGAAUAUUGCACAAUGGGGGAAACCCUGAUGCAGCGACGCCGCGUGAAGGAAGAAGUAUUUCGGUAUGUAAACUUCUAUCAGCAGGGAAGAAAAUGACGGUACCUGACUAAGAAGCCCCGGCUAACUACGUGCCAGCAGCCGCGGUAAUACGUAGGGGGCAAGCGUUAUCCGGAUUUACUGGGUGUAAAGGGGGCGCAGGCGGCGAUGCAAGCCAGGAGUGAAAGCCCGGGGCCCAACCCCGGGACUGCACUGGAAACUGCCGGGCUGGAGUGUCGGAGGGGCAGGCGGAAUUCCUGGUGUAGCGGUGAAAUGCGUAGAUAUCAGGAGGAACACCGGUGGCGAAGGCGGCCUGCUGGACUGCAACUGACGUUGAGGCCCGAAAGCGUGGGGAGCAAACAGGAUUAGAUACCCGCGUA
RNAcentral lists this ribosomal RNA (444 nucleotides) under uncultured bacterium. RNAcentral's name for it is "partial 16S ribosomal RNA". It matches the Rfam family "Bacterial small subunit ribosomal RNA", at positions 331 to 792 of the family's 1533-position model. The record is from RNAcentral.